CCAAGGAUCAAACUCAUGUCUCCUGCAUUGGCAAGUGGAUUCUUUACCACUGAGCCAUGAAGGAAGCCCUUUGCUGCCAGUAGCAGCUCCCAUUUGUUGAACACCUGCUACACUGUCUUUAAUACUCACUGUGAACUUAGAAGUUCACUGAAGAGGAAACUGUGGCUUCAAGAGGUUGAGUCAUAGCACAGAGAAGAAGCACUGCUGGACUUUCAAUCUAGUCUGGAUGAUUCCCCCAACAGCUUGUGGGAAUCACUGUUGACCUGGAAGCUGCCUAGCUGCCCUUCCCCCAAUACAUCGUGCAGUACCUGGGGACCUGAAGCAGGCGAGGGCCAUCAGCAGGGAGCAACAGUCAUGUAACUGUCAGAUGGAAAAGCUCAAGCAGCUGGGCAGCAUUCAAGAACCAAGAAGACAGGCGCACAACUAAGAGCUGGGGAAGAUCUCAGCACAGGGUUAACAUUCCCAUUUCACAGGUGAGGAAACUGAAGCCCAUCAAAGGACAGAAGUGACUUGAUUUAGGCCCCACAGCA
This is a non-coding RNA of Odocoileus virginianus texanus, 530 nucleotides long. The record is from RefSeq and is a predicted model, not a curated record. NCBI's taxonomy places the organism in Eukaryota, Metazoa, Chordata, Mammalia, Artiodactyla, Cervidae.